This 565-nucleotide ribosomal RNA is filed under the name uncultured bacterium. RNAcentral's name for it is "bacterial SSU rRNA". It matches the Rfam family "Bacterial small subunit ribosomal RNA", at positions 409 to 967 of the family's 1533-position model. The record is from RNAcentral.
GUAAGGGUUUCGGCUCGUAAAACUCUGUUGUUAAGGAAGAAUACUUGAGGUAGUAACUGGCCUUGAGAUGACGGUACUUAACCAGAAAGCCACGGCUAACUACGUGCCAGCAGCCGCGGUAAUACGUAGGUGGCAAGCGUUAUCCGGAAUUAUUGGGCGUAAAGCGCGCGUAGGCGGUAAAUAAGUCUGAUGUGAAAGCCCCCGGCUCAACCGGGAGGGUCAUUGGAAACUGUUUUACUUGAGUACAGAAGAGGAGAGUGGAAUUCCAUGUGUAGCGGUGAAAUGCGCAGAGAUAUGGAGGAACACCAGUGGCGAAGGCGGCUCUCUGGUCUGUUACUGACGCUGAGGUGCGAAAGCGUGGGGAUCAAACAGGAUUAGAUACCCUGGUAGUCCACGCCGUAAACGAUGAGUGCUAAGUGUUGGGGGUUUCCGCCCCUCAGUGCCGUAGCUAACGCGUUAAGUAUCCCGCCUGGGGAGUACGCACGCAAGUGUGAAACUCAAAGGAAUUGACGGGGGCCCGCACAAGCGGUGGAGUAUGUGGUUUAAUUCGAUGUCGACGCGGCCG